Molecule: non-coding RNA, 1160 nt
Organism: Odocoileus virginianus texanus
Lineage: Eukaryota; Metazoa; Chordata; Mammalia; Artiodactyla; Cervidae
Source: RefSeq, a predicted model, not a curated record
AAAAGCUCUGCCUUCAUCAUCUGGGCUUCUCUUCUGGGCCAGGGAAUGAAGCUACCCCUAAAGGGUUGGGCAGAAAAUUCGGGGAGCAGAUAUCUUCUGAGGAUCCUCUUCGACUCUCCCAUGGGCCCUGCACGAUCCUGACAUAGGGUACCACCGAGGGGCGGGUGUGAGAAGAUGAUGUGGGAUUCUCUGGCCAGAUGGACUGGUGCUGGACAGACCACAUGAGAGUGUCUGUAUCCGAAAGAUCAAUGACACGGUCAUCACCUAUACCCCGCCUGCUUUACCCACCCAAGUUCCUGCCAUGGAAGCAUCUGAGGUCGCUGCCACCUGAAUGCUACCUUCACGAGACAUCAUUUGCCCUCCAUGUUUUCAUCAUCAGGUUAUCAUGUCAUUUCUUUUGAAAGAUGACAUGAUGUGGAUUUGAACAAACAGCCCGAGGGGAGAACUGAUGUAUUCCUUAAAAGGGGGUACAUGUACUUCCUUUCUCAAGCACCUUGAAAACAGACUGCCUUCUGUGUAAGAUUUGCCAAUAAGCAGCAAGACACCCAAGGAAGGACCAAAUGAACAGAAACCUUCGAAUAUGCCACACGUAGUCUUCUCCCAACUGAUCUAGCCACAGGGCCACCAGCAUGGCUUGGGCAGCCCUCUCCCCAGACAGAUAAGGGACGGAGUAAAGGAGCCUCCAGGGAACCAACAAUGCCCACAUUUUGCAAGAGCAGAAAGAGUACAUAGGGUGUGAUUUUGUCCCAGAAUUUCAUUGCUUGUUAGCCAAUCUGUGUGGCUGGCAUGAGACCCUUCCCACAGGCCUGGCUGAGCCAAGGGCAGUUUCUAAGAACUCCAGGGUACAGUUAUUGUGUUAAUUUGUCCCCAUACCAAUGCCAGCAUGGAGCCUCUGCUCUCUGACUUCUCAAACUGAACUGACAGCCAGCGCCGGGAAGUUGGCCAAAGGGGUCACAGGAACAAGUACUGAAUGCAGCUGAUUUCAGCUGGCACGUGGGGACCACAUUUACAAGCACAAUCACAUCCAUUCUGUUCCACCAUUACAAAUCCCUGCCUUUGAAGGGGGCUGGGGCGAGAGCAGGGCUCCCCUCGUGGCUCAGUGGUAAAGAAUCUGCCUGUCAGUACAGCAGAUACAGGUUCAGUCCUUGGAUGAGGAAGAU